ACUCAACACUAACAAUUUAGAAUGAGCAAAUCAUCGCUACUAUAGCAAGCCUUUUAAGUAAGGAAGCUUGAACAGCGAGUUAGCUCAAAACUUGUCUUAUCGAGUUU
RNAcentral lists this small RNA (107 nucleotides) under Flavobacterium macacae. Its description in RNAcentral is "Flavobacterium sp. YIM 102600 6S RNA". It matches the Rfam family "6S-Flavo RNA". Lineage: Bacteria; Pseudomonadati; Bacteroidota; Flavobacteriia; Flavobacteriales; Flavobacteriaceae. The record is from RNAcentral.